This is a long non-coding RNA of Acipenser ruthenus (sterlet), 1325 nucleotides long. RefSeq lists it as uncharacterized. NCBI's taxonomy places the organism in Eukaryota, Metazoa, Chordata, Actinopteri, Acipenseriformes, Acipenseridae. The record is from RefSeq and is a predicted model, not a curated record. The transcript has 2 exons.
GGUAAUGAGAGCAUCUUUGGAUCUCAACGCCUGUGUCAGCUGAUCGAUUGUCCUGGAAACAGAGGCAGGGAGAGCGUUAGAGAGAAGGAGUGGGAGUUUUACAUCAGUUCAGAAAAUAGAUUCAUGCGUGCAGUUGGUAGCCCUUUAACUCUUCGACUCAAUGCUGCCCACCUCUUGCAGAAGCUGGAUCUUGGUUUCCAGGAUCUCCUGCAUGUGGUCGAUUUCCUGCUGCCUCUCCUCGCACCGUCGCUGCAGCUCAGCCUCAUUGUGAUUGGUCAGGCUUUCUGCUGUAGUUCUACCAGGGGAAACGAAGGGGCCAGGUUAUAGAAACAGACACUCAGCAUAUACAUUUUCAUGUUUCUAUCAUAAUACAUUAUCCUGGUAUUGUACAUCUAUGACUUUGAAGAUAACUUCAGCACAAACAUACAGUUCAGAAGCCAGGCAUUCAAGAAACAGUAACAGCAAGAGUGUGGUUCAUCUCCUCACUCAAUGGCAAAAUCGAGAAGAAUCUCCAAUCAUACUGGAGCUUCUCUCUUUUGGGUUUCAUCCAAGGAUUACUUUUCCCUGCUAUUGUUUUCCAUCACGUUAUUAGCUUCCUAAAUGAGCUAGUCCUGGCUAUUACUGACUCACGGAAAUACAACAGCAGGAUAAUGAAAAAAACUCAGUAUUAAGUGCAUCCUGUUAUGAUCUUUUCUAUUUGCAAAUUAGUUAUGGCAGUUCUGGGUUGGUACAAACCUGGCAAAAUGUCAUGCAAAGUGUUUUUUUAAUUAAAAUACAAUAUAUUUUGUCAGACUGAGUCCAUCAGGUUUGUGUUUAUGUUCCAUUCUCACUUGCUUCACUGAUGGCCAUUAGCCAUAUGUUUUAGGUGAUGUAUUAUCCUGAAUUCUUGUGGAAAGCCCAAGGUUUUAAGUUCUGCUCAUGUUGUGCCAAUGUCGAUCCAUUACCAUCUCGCCAAUGCGGCUUUGAUCAGCCUCAGGUCAUGCUAAGGUCAGAACUAAAAGUUCUCUGAGCCAAUCGGCUGUUGGUUGCGUGUGUCAAGCCUGACUGUUAUCCUACACCAGGGCUACUUAUAGCAAUAUCUGUAAUUCAAGUGGAGAUGUAUAUUGACUUAUAUUAUAAACUUACGAACACAACAGGACACUGAGGAAAUAAUGGGGCCUCAAUUCCAGAGGAUAAAUAAUUAUCCUGUACUUUCUCAGCUCUUUUCAUGGAAGCAUUAUGGGAUAAUGUACAACUCUAAAAAAAAGCCAUGCAGUAUUUGCUCUGUAUAGUUUUAAAAAAAAACAAAAAAUAUGCUGUAUGUAAUAAAUUUGAUUUUUACUUGA